AUUCUGCCCAUGCGGGGAAGGAUGAGAAGCUUCGACCAAGGUUCGACUCGAGCGCCAGCGAGAAAGCGUUGCCGCAGGCAACGACCCGAAGGGCGAAGCGCGCAGCGCUGAGUAAUCCUUCCCCCACCACCA
RNAcentral lists this small RNA (132 nucleotides) under Escherichia coli. Its description in RNAcentral is "RtT sRNA". It matches the Rfam family "RtT RNA". From Rfam's summary of the family: This family represents a bacterial cis-regulatory element known as RtT RNA. The exact function of RtT is unknown although it is thought that it may be involved in changing the cellular response in relation to amino acid starvation. The record is from RNAcentral. Lineage: Bacteria; Pseudomonadati; Pseudomonadota; Gammaproteobacteria; Enterobacterales; Enterobacteriaceae. RNAcentral also lists the same sequence under 4 other names.